RNAcentral lists this ribosomal RNA (622 nucleotides) under Bacillus safensis. RNAcentral's name for it is "bacterial SSU rRNA". It matches the Rfam family "Bacterial small subunit ribosomal RNA", at positions 44 to 646 of the family's 1533-position model. Lineage: Bacteria; Bacillati; Bacillota; Bacilli; Caryophanales; Bacillaceae. The record is from RNAcentral.
AUGCUGCCUUCACAUCGCCAGUCGAGCGGACAGAAGGGAGCUUGCUCCCGGAUGUUAGCGGCGGACGGGUGAGUAACACGUGGGUAACCUGCCUGUAAGACUGGGAUAACUCCGGGAAACCGGAGCUAAUACCGGAUAGUUCCUUGAACCGCAUGGUUCAAGGAUGAAAGACGGUUUCGGCUGUCACUUACAGAUGGACCCGCGGCGCAUUAGCUAGUUGGUGGGGUAAUGGCUCACCAAGGCGACGAUGCGUAGCCGACCUGAGAGGGUGAUCGGCCACACUGGGACUGAGACACGGCCCAGACUCCUACGGGAGGCAGCAGUAGGGAAUCUUCCGCAAUGGACGAAAGUCUGACGGAGCAACGCCGCGUGAGUGAUGAAGGUUUUCGGAUCGUAAAGCUCUGUUGUUAGGGAAGAACAAGUGCGAGAGUAACUGCUCGCACCUUGACGGUACCUAACCAGAAAUCCACGGGUAACUACGGGCCAGCACCCGCGGUAAUACGUGGUUGCCAAGCGUUGUCCGAAAUUAUUGGGGGUAAAGGGUUCUGAGGGGGUUCCUUAAUUCUGAUGUGAAAGCCCCCGUUUCAACCGGACACGCCCAUUGGAAAGUGUAAAGCUUGAG